GGAUGAACGCUAGCUACAGGCUUAACACAUGCAAGUCGCGGGGCGAGCGAGGGGUUAGGCUUGCUAACCCUGUCGGCGACCGGCGCACGGGUGAGUAACGCGUAUCCAACCUUCCCCCUAGUAGGGCAUAGCCCGGCGAAAGUCGGAUUAAUACCCUAUGUUGUAUAUUGAGGACAUCUGAUUUAUACCAAAGAUUCAUCGCUAGGGGAUGGGGAUGCGUCCGAUUAGGUAGUCGGCGGGGUAACGGCCCACCGAGCCUUCGAUCGGUAGGGGUUCUGAGAGGAAGGUCCCCCACACUGGUACUGAGACACGGACCAGACUCCUACGGGAGGCAGCAGUGAGGAAUAUUGGUCAAUGGGCGCAAGCCUGAACCAGCCAAGUAGCGUGCAGGACGACGGCCCUAUGGGUUGUAAACUGCUUUUAUGCGGGGAUAAAGUUCGCCACGUGUGGCGUUUUGCAGGUACCGCAUGAAUAAGGACCGGCUAAUUCCGUGCCAGCCGCUGC
This 504-nucleotide ribosomal RNA is filed under the name uncultured bacterium. Its description in RNAcentral is "bacterial SSU rRNA". It matches the Rfam family "Bacterial small subunit ribosomal RNA", at positions 27 to 518 of the family's 1533-position model. The record is from RNAcentral.